RNAcentral lists this ribosomal RNA (548 nucleotides) under uncultured bacterium. RNAcentral describes it as "bacterial SSU rRNA". It matches the Rfam family "Bacterial small subunit ribosomal RNA", at positions 355 to 895 of the family's 1533-position model. The record is from RNAcentral.
UGGGGGGUAUUGCACAAUGGGCGGAAGCCUGAUGCAGCGACGUCGCGUGAGGGAUGGAGGCCUUCGGGUUGUGAACCUCUUUCUCCGGUGGUGAAGGCCCUGUCCGUUGCGGCGGGGUUGACGGUAGCCGGGUAUGAAGCGCCGGCUAACUACGUGCCAGCAGCCGCGGUAAUACGUAGGGCGCGAGCGUUGUCCGGAAUUAUUGGGCGUGAAGGGCUUGUAGGCGGCCGGUCGCGUCCGCCGUGAAAUUCUCCGGCUCAACCGGGGGCUUGCGGUGGGUACGGGCCGGCUGGAGUGCGGUAGGGGAGGCUGGAACUCCUGGUGUAGCGGUGGAAUGCGCAGAUAUCAGGAGGAACACCGGUGGCGAAGGCGGGUCUCUGGGCCGUUACUGACGCUGAGGAGCGAAAGCGUGGGGAGCGAACAGGAUUAGAUACCCUGGUAGUCCACGCCGUAAACGUUGGGCACUAGGUGUGGGGCCCCGCUCGGCGGGGGUCCGCGCCGCAGCUAACGCAUUAAGUGCCCCGCCUGGGGAGUACGGCCGCAAGGCU